This is a non-coding RNA of Camelina sativa (false flax), 965 nucleotides long. The record is from RefSeq and is a predicted model, not a curated record. Lineage: Eukaryota; Viridiplantae; Streptophyta; Magnoliopsida; Brassicales; Brassicaceae.
GGAAGUCAAGGAAUUGAAGCAUACUCAGAUGAAACAAGCUGAGAGGGUGAUUACUUUUUUUUUUUUUUGAAUGAAGAGGGUGAUUACUUUGGAGAUGGAGCUGCUUGAAUCAAGAAGGGAGAUACUUCGGCUAAAAGGGAGCAGUGGAAGUUUCUAAGCACUUGGUAUCUCAAAUUAAGUACAAACUUUUGGAGUUUGCAAUGCUUCUCUAGCUACUUCUUUGUCUUUUGAAAAUAUGAAUCUAUGAGAAGAUGAUUAUAUUGUUUAAAGAGAUGUUCCAGUGGAAGCUAAAAGUUUAUAGUCCUCCACUUAGAUUAGUUUCAUCAUCAUGAACGUGCUUGAAUUAGUGUAUGUUCAUGACUCUAUUGCUAUGGUUUUAAGUUUACAGUUUCUAAGAUGGUUACGAAAACUAUAGGUUAAAAAGGAAAAAAUGGCGACAAAAUUGGAAGCGCAAGGUGGUCGUGGAGGAGAAGAAUGAGACGAUGGUGGUGCUUACGUAAACGUCAAGAAAGUGUAUGUUGGUCAAGGUGAUUCUGGUGUGGUUUACGUCAAGUUUAAUUACGAGAAAGACUGCAAAAUCGUAUCAUGCGAACAUGGGAAGAUGACACUACUUGGAACAGAGGAGUUUGUACUUGAUCCAGAAGAUUACAUCACAUCAGUGAAAUUUUACUACGAGAAGCUCUUUGGAUCACCGGUAGAGAUCGUCACGGCUCUAGUCUUUAAGACAUUUAAAGGCAAAACUUCUCAGCCUUUUGGAUUAGUCUCUGGACAAGAAGCAUAUAUAUUUGGGUUCUUGCAGCUUGAAUCAAAAAGGGAGAUACUUCGGCUAAAAGGGAGCAAUGGAAGUUUUUAAGCACAUGCAUGGUAAGCUCAAAUUAAGAAUAAACUCUUGGAGUUUGUAAUGCUUCUCUAACUACUUCUUGUCUUUUGAACAUAUGUUAAGAAGGAAAAAAGGAAUAUGGAAA